Molecule: ribosomal RNA, 253 nt
Filed under: uncultured bacterium
Lineage: Bacteria
Description: partial 16S ribosomal RNA
Rfam family: Bacterial small subunit ribosomal RNA
Source: RNAcentral
UACGGAGGGUGCAAGCGUUGUCCGGAAUCACUGGGCGUAAAGGGCGCGUAGGCGGCUCAUGAAGGCUGUGGUGAAAGUCCGGGGCUCAACCUCGGAUCGGCCGUGGCGACUCGUGGGCUGGAGCACUGUAGAGGCGGGUGGAAUUCCGGGUGUAGCGGUGGAAUGCGUAGAGAUCCGGAAGAACACCAGUGGCGAAGGCGGCCCGCUGGGCAGUGACUGACGCUGAGGCGCGACAGCGUGGGGAGCAAACAGG